GACGAACGCUGGCGGCGUGCCUAAUACAUGCAAGUAGAACGCUGAAGGAGGAGCUUGCUUCUCUGGAUGAGUUGCGAACGGGUGAGUAACGCGUAGGUAACCUGCCUGGUAGCGGGGGAUAACUAUUGGAAACGAUAGCUAAUACCGCAUAAGAGUAGAUGUCGCAUGACAUUUGCUUAAAAGGUGCAAUUGCAUCACUACCAGAUGGACCUGCGUUGUAUUAGCUAGUUGGUGAGGUAACGGCACACCAAGGCAACGAUACAUAGCCGACCUGAGAGGGGGGUCGGCCAAACUGGGACUGAGGCACGGCCCAGGCUCCUACGGGAGGCAGCAGUAGGGAAUCUUCGGCCAUGGACGGAAGUCUGACCGAGCAACGCCGCGGGAGUGAAGAAGGGUGUCGGAUCGUAAAGCUCUGUUGUAAGAGAAGAACGAGUGUGAGAGUGGAAAGUUCACACUGUGACGGUACCUUAACAGAAAGGGACGGCUAACUACGUG
This 495-nucleotide ribosomal RNA is filed under the name uncultured bacterium. Its description in RNAcentral is "partial 16S ribosomal RNA". It matches the Rfam family "Bacterial small subunit ribosomal RNA", at positions 28 to 507 of the family's 1533-position model. The record is from RNAcentral.